AACGAACGCUGGCGGCAGGCCUAACACACGCAAGUCGAGCGCCCUGCAAGGGGAGCGGCGGACGGGUGAGUAACGCGUGGGAAUUUUUCCUGGAGUACGGAACAACCGAGGGAAACUUCGGCUAAUACCGUAUGAUGCCGAGAGGCCAAAGAUUUAUCGCUCUGGGGUGAGCCCGCGUCAGAUUAGGUAGUUGGUGGGGUAAAGGCCUACCAAGCCUGCGAUCUGUAGCUGGUCUGAGAGGACGAUCAGCCACACUGGGACUGAGACACGGUCCAGACUCCUACGGGAGGCAGCAGUAAGGAAUAUUGCUCAAUGGGGGAAACCCUGAAGCAGCAACGCCGCGUGAAGGAUGAAAUACUUUUGUAUGUAAACCUCUGUAAGAUGGGAAAAUAUUCUCC
Molecule: ribosomal RNA, 398 nt
Filed under: uncultured bacterium
Lineage: Bacteria
Description: bacterial SSU rRNA
Rfam family: Bacterial small subunit ribosomal RNA
Source: RNAcentral